This 76-nucleotide transfer RNA is filed under the name Luteimonas pelagia. Its description in RNAcentral is "tRNA-Thr". It matches the Rfam family "tRNA". Rfam says of the family: Transfer RNA (tRNA) molecules are approximately 80 nucleotides in length. Their secondary structure includes four short double-helical elements and three loops (D, anti-codon, and T loops). The record is from RNAcentral. Lineage: Bacteria; Pseudomonadati; Pseudomonadota; Gammaproteobacteria; Lysobacterales; Lysobacteraceae. RNAcentral also lists the same sequence under 20 other names.
GCUCACGUAGCUCAGUCGGUAGAGCACUUCCUUGGUAAGGAAGAGGUCGAUGGUUCGAUUCCAUUCGUGAGCACCA